UUAGAUACCCUAUUAUACUAAUAGAACCCUUAAUUAUUAAUAGAUAUAUUCUUUAAAUUUGAAGAAUUUGGCGGUAAUUUAGUCUUGUUAGAGGAACCUGUUUUUUAAUCGAUAAACCACGUAGAAUUUUACUUAACUUAUUAGUUUGUAUACCGUCAUUAUCAGAUAAUUUUCAUAGAAUUAAUUAUUGAAAUUUAUAAUACUUAAGUGGAGAAAAUUAGAUCAAGGUGCAGCUUAUGGUUGAGUUAAAAUGGGUUACAAUAAAAUUUAUUUAUUCAUGGAGUAUUACUUGGAAUUAGUUUUAUGAAGGCGGAUUUAAUUGUAACAUAAGUUUAACACGCUUAUGUGAUAUGAGCUCUAAAUUAUGUACAUAUCGCCCGU
RNAcentral lists this ribosomal RNA (381 nucleotides) under Etisus odhneri. RNAcentral's name for it is "partial 12S ribosomal RNA". The record is from RNAcentral. Lineage: Eukaryota; Metazoa; Arthropoda; Malacostraca; Decapoda; Xanthidae.